RNAcentral lists this ribosomal RNA (252 nucleotides) under uncultured bacterium. RNAcentral's name for it is "partial 16S ribosomal RNA". It matches the Rfam family "Bacterial small subunit ribosomal RNA", at positions 524 to 776 of the family's 1533-position model. The record is from RNAcentral.
UACGUAGGGGCAAGCGUUGUCCGGAUUUAUUGGGCGUAAAGAGCUCGUAGGCGGCUUGUCGCGUCGGAUGUGAAAGCCCGGGGCUUAACUCCGGGUCUGCAUUCGAUACGGGCAGGCUAGAGUGUGGUAGGGGAGACUGGAAUUCCUGGUGUAGCGGUGAAAUGCGCAGAUAUCAGGAGGAACACCGAUGGCGAAGGCAGAUCUCUGGGCCGUAACUGACGCUGAGGAGCGAAAGCGUGGGGAGCGAACAGG